UGGGGAAUUUUCGACAAUGGGGGAAACCCUGAUCCAGCCAUCCCGCGUGUGCGAUGAAGGCCUUCGGGUUGUAAAGCACUUUUGGCAGGAAAGAAACGUCAUGGGUUAAUACCCCGUGAAACUGACGGUACCUGCAGAAUAAGCACCGGCUAACUACGUGCCAGCAGCCGCGGUAAUACGUAGGGUGCAAGCGUUAAUCGGAAUUACUGGGCGUAAAGCGUGCGCAGGCGGUUCGGAAAGAAAGAUGUGAAAUCCCAGAGCUCAACUUUGGAACUGCAUUUUUAACUACCGGGCUAGAGUGUGUCAGAGGGAGGUGGAAUUCCGCGUGUAGCAGUGAAAUGCGUAGAUAUGCGGAGGAACACCGAUGGCGAAGGCAGCCUCCUGGGAUAACACUGACGCUCAUGCACGAAAGCGUGGGGAGCAAACAGG
Molecule: ribosomal RNA, 429 nt
Filed under: Acidobacteriota bacterium
Lineage: Bacteria; Pseudomonadati; Acidobacteriota
Description: Acidobacteria bacterium partial 16S ribosomal RNA
Rfam family: Bacterial small subunit ribosomal RNA
Source: RNAcentral